Molecule: long non-coding RNA, 638 nt
Organism: Cyprinus carpio (common carp)
Lineage: Eukaryota; Metazoa; Chordata; Actinopteri; Cypriniformes; Cyprinidae
Source: Ensembl
AUGUUUUUGAAUUUUAAAGCAAGAACUGUUCACUUUUAUAAAACAUGUAUUAUGAAAACAGGCAUCACAGAAACAACGAUUUCUACUACUAGAAUUACAUCUUUACCUCCACGAGGCUACAGUGCAUCCGCCAACAAGGGCAUGUCAAGCACCUCUGGGUCUGCUGGCCUGGAGAAGAACAUUUUGACUCCGAGCAACGGCAGUUCUUUUUUCUCAUCCUGUGGGUUAGGCUCUGGAUCAGGGGAAUAUCUGGCAGAGGAGACAACUGUGAGCAGGAAGACAGGUGGUGUCUCUGGAUCGGGAACAGGGUUGAGGGUAAGAUCCAGCUCUACUGAUGGCAUGAGAAGAACACAAGACUCCCCUCUGUUUGUGGAGAGGAAAAGCAAAACUACUCAUUCACGUCGUUAUGAUGGAAGUUCAAGUGACAACUCAUCCCCAGAAAUAAAAAGAAAAGACUAUGGUUCAAGAGGAAGGAGUCAAAGCAGGGGUGAGAUUAUUAUUUACACUUAUGCAACUAGUGUAUGAAUUACUUUGCAUAGGAUUAUCAUCUUUAUUGUCCAAUGAUAUUAUAUGCUUUUUUACUUUAAACACUCUCUUCAAAACCCUGCACAUAAAAUAAAUUUCAGCAAAUCCAAACA